RNAcentral lists this ribosomal RNA (869 nucleotides) under uncultured archaeon. Its description in RNAcentral is "bacterial SSU rRNA". It matches the Rfam family "Archaeal small subunit ribosomal RNA", at positions 125 to 995 of the family's 1478-position model. The record is from RNAcentral.
GAUAACCUCGGGAAACUGGGUAUAAUACCCGAUAGGUCUCGAUUGCUGGAAUGCAUCGAGAUUUAAAGCUCCGGCGCCUAAGGAUGGGUCUGCGGCCUAUCAGGUAGUAGUGGGUGUAGCGUACCUACUAGCCUACGACGGGUACGGGUUGUGAGAGCAAGAGCCCGGAGAUGGAUUCUGAGACACGAAUCCAGGCCCUACGGGGUGCAGCAGGCGCGAAAACUUUACAAUGCUGGCAACAGCGAUAAGGGAACCUCGAGUGCCAGCAUCAUAUGCUGGCUGUCCGGAUGUGUAAAAUACAUCCGUUAGCAAGGGCCGGGCAAGACCGGUGCCAGCCGCCGCGGUAACACCGGCGGCCCGAGUGGUGAUCGUGAUUAUUGGGUCUAAAGGGUCCGUAGCCGGUUUGGUCAGUCCUCCGGGAAAUCUGAUAGCUCAACUAUUAGGCUUUCGGGGGAUACUGCCAGACUUGGAACCGGGAGAGGUAAGAGGUACUACAGGGGUAGGAGUGAAAUCUUGUAAUCCCUGUGGGACCACCUGUGGCGAAGGCGUCUUACCAGAACGGGUUCGACGGUGAGGGACGGAAGCUGGGGGCACGAACCGGAUUAGAUACCCGGGUAGUCCCAGCCGUAAACGAUGCUCGCUAGGUGUCAGGCAUGGCGCGACCGUGUCUGGUGCCGCAGGGAAGCCGUGAAGCGAGCCACCUGGGAAGUACGGCCGCAAGGCUGAAACUUAAAGGAAUUGGCGGGGGAGCACAACAACGGGUGGAGCCUGCGGUUUAAUUGGACUCAACGCCGGACAACUCACCGGGGGCGACAGCAAUAUGUAGGCCAAGCUGAAGACUUUGCCUGAAUCGCUGAGAGGAGGUGCAU